This 492-nucleotide ribosomal RNA is filed under the name uncultured bacterium. Its description in RNAcentral is "partial 16S ribosomal RNA". It matches the Rfam family "Bacterial small subunit ribosomal RNA", at positions 29 to 507 of the family's 1533-position model. The record is from RNAcentral.
AGUGAACGCUGGCGGUAGGCCUAACACAUGCAAGUCGAACGGCAGCACAGUAAGAGCUUGCUCUUACGGGUGGCGAGUGGCGGACGGGUGAGGAAUACAUCGGAAUCUACUUUUUCGUGGGGGAUAACGUAGGGAAACUUACGCUAAUACCGCAUACGACCUACGGGUGAAAGCAGGGGAUCUUCGGACCUUGCGCGAUUGAAUGAGCCGAUGUCGGAUUAGCUAGUUGGCGGGGUAAAGGCCCACCAAGGCGACGAUCCGUAGCUGGUCUGAGAGGAUGAUCGGCCACACUGGAACUGAGACACGGUCCAGACUCCUACGGGAGGCAGCAGUGGGGAAUAUUGGACAAUGGGCGCAAUCCUGAUCCAGCCAUACCGCGUGGGUGAAGAAGGCCUUCGGGUUUUAAAGCCCUUUUGUUGGGAAAGAAAAGCAGCAGGUUAAUACCCCGCUGUUCUGACGGUACCCAAAGAAUAAGCACCGGCUAACUUCGUG